AUGGAGCACGAGCCGAGCUCGUCCAGUCAGAGAGGACCGCUACUCAAUAGAUGGAGCACGAGCCGAGCUCGUCCGGUCAGAGAGGACCGCUACUCAAUAAUCGACGGAGUACGAGCCGAGCUCGUCCGGUCAGAGAGGACCGCUACUCAAUAGAUGGAGCACGAGCCGAGCUCGUCCGGUCAGAGAGGACCACUAACUCAUAGCCGAUGGAGCACGAGCCGAGCUCGUCCGGUCAGAGAGGACCGCUACUCAUAUCCCGACGUCUCGGGCAUCCCUAUAGCCGGGGCAUCCCGACGUCUUGGGGCAUCCCGACGUCUCGGGGCAUCCUGACCGUGGUCAGGGUAGGAGCACGAGCCGAGCUC
Molecule: long non-coding RNA, 362 nt
Filed under: Phoenix dactylifera (date palm)
Lineage: Eukaryota; Viridiplantae; Streptophyta; Magnoliopsida; Arecales; Arecaceae
Description: long non-coding RNA (PDAC_LNC018998)
Source: RNAcentral